CUUCUAGAUUGCAACCCCACGCCCCUUUUCGUUUGCUCGAUCACAAGCCCCCCACAUCUCCUUUCGUCUGCUCGAUCGCAAACCACCACAAUAGGUUCAUCGCCGCCACCGUUGAAGAAAUCGUGUUCAUCCGCCGCUGCCGGUGAAGACAUUGUGUUCGUCCACCAUCAUUCAGAACAGGUUCGUCUGCAAUAGUUCAUCCGCUGCCGUAACAGUUCAUCCACCGCUACAACAGUUCGUCUGCCACCGCAACAAGUUCGUUGCCACAAUAGGUUCGUUUGCUGCAACAGGUUCGUCUGCCACAAGCUGCCGCCGCUCAAGCCCUUUUUCAAUUUGUUUUCGCCCUUUUAAGAAGCUCUUCCGUCGCCUUCCUUCCCUAUCCAUAUGAGAGCCUUCAUGGAAGUCUCAGCUGAUGAUCGUCUUAAUUUUGGGAAGAUGGGUUAUGGAUGCCAGCAUUACCGUAGGAGAUGUAAGAUUCGAGCCCCUUGCUAUAAUGAAAUCUACCCCUGUCGCCUUUGUCAUAACGAAGCUAAGAGUGUGAUGAGCAGACUCUCUGAUCGUCAUUAGCUCAAUUGUUUUGACGUUAAACAAGUCGUCUGUGCAGUCUGUGACACGGAGCAGCCAGUAUGGAAAUGUUAUUUUUAUCAUUUUAUUAAUAUUAAGUUUUAUACUUUUAUGUGUGCUUAAAUGAUCAUUAGUUCCUAAACGUGUUUUGGUUAGGAUUUGGUUAACUUAUUAGCUUUGUCUCAUGUUUAACUUGUAUUGUAUUUAAGCUUAUUAGCUCUUGAAGUUGUGCUCCGCUGGUUAGGAUUUUCCCUUUGUUUUCUCAUGUAUACAGCUUGACAAUGUGCUCAAGUUAUGCUCUGCCAUUAUGCAACCUCUGAUGCCAAAAGCUCUUUGGGUUUAUUUCGAGUUUUUAAUAAAUUCCACACAUCUUUAUUUUCCUUCUAAUGUUAGACUCUGGGGCUUUAUUUCGAGUAGGAUUCUCAUCUUAAGCCUCAUCGUCGCUCCUUUUCUGCAAUGAUGCCAUCAUCGUUCAACUGGGUUCAUGUUCUUCAGAGUUUAGGAGGCUUUGGAGAAGAAGAAGGUAACUUCGCUUCUUCUUGUUUAUGAGUUAAUAUUUGUGGGAAAGGUUAUUAAGAAGAAGAAUAAAAGGGAAAUAGUUUGGGAGAAUAAAAGGUUAUUAAAAAUGUCUUAUAGUAGUAUAUGGUCAAGGGUCUUAUGCUUCAACAUGAUUUCAUUUCAUAUAUAUUAUUUCCUAAAUCUUCUUCAAGGUUGCUGGGAUCUACAACUUUGGCCAAGAUGAUCUACAACAUUCUUUGUUUGGGUUGGUCAGCAGGUUGACCUUAAGCAUUAUCUGUUUUAUGAUAUUUGACUGAUUUGGAUAUUAUAUUGUUGGGAAUCAAUGGAUAGGUUAUCUUCAUUUUUCCUUUGAGCUCUAACUUAUUCUUUUGAAAUUUUGAAAUUUUAGGCACAAUCUCACUAAAUUUGUGAAACAUGCUUCCAGGAAAGGAAUUUCUAUUGAUGAAAUAAAUCUUAGUUCAAGAGGACAUGGAAAGGUUCGUAUUGUAGCAUAGACAUGUAUAUUUUGUUUAUAUAAUUAAACAUAGAUGAAAAGUUUGGGAUUGUUAGAAGUUUGGGCUACACAUAUAUGUUGUAAUUAAGUAUGUAAUGGCCAACUUAUAUAUGGUUCAUUGAUAUAUAUAUAUGCAAUUUCUUUGAUGGAAA
Molecule: long non-coding RNA, 1728 nt
Organism: Cucumis melo (muskmelon)
Lineage: Eukaryota; Viridiplantae; Streptophyta; Magnoliopsida; Cucurbitales; Cucurbitaceae
Exons: 4
Source: RefSeq, a predicted model, not a curated record